CAGAGCUGCUUCUCUAACUGCUGUGAAUGAUGAGGAAAUCUGAGCCACGUGAAAGAAGCAUAGGAACCUAUGCCAAGCCCUAUUGUGCCACUGACCUUCGGAUUUGAAUGAAAUUAACAAUUGCCUAAUGAAUUGAGUUCUGAUAAUUUCUAUCAAGGCACUUUAAAGUGAUGGGCCCCAAGAAUUCAUCCUGGGGAUGAGGUAAAGGCAGUGUCUUUUUAUUCAAUGUGCAAAUUAUUUGAAAGUCUCUUCCACGUGAUUCAGUGUCCUCGAUGACUCAUUUAUAAUUUUUCUGCAAGGGAAUGUUAAAGUGACGGGGCCAGUGACCUUCCAGAGAAAGUGCUUUGCUGCUCUUCUGAGACCUUUUAGCACCUAUACUAAAUGAAUGCCAGUGCAGGAGCUUAUGUGUGGAAAGACUCAAUUCCAUGAAGGGCCCUGUUAAAAAUAUGACAGUACCCAAACCCUCGUGACCCCAAACCCUCACAAUCCUGUGCUUGCAGCAAAGCAACCGGGAAAGGUCAGCUCACCCUGGCUCAUGUUGUUGUCAACUCUCUGAAUUUAGGAUUUCGAACUAAAGUUAGAAAAGUGUGCAUUGCUUUGUGUAGUCAGUCUCUUUUCCAGAAAAUACGUUUUGAUUUUUUUUUUUUUUUGGUAGAUAACAUCAUUUUCAGCUGACACUAGGUGAAUAAUUUAUAUUUAAUAAAUUCAUUUAAAUGGGUACUAUAAUGAACGAAUUAACACGAUGAGUGACAGAAGAGGCAAACAAUGUGAUUUUUGUGAUCGAGCAUUUAGAAAGGUUAAACUGACAAUCUUGACGCUUAUGGAAGUUAAAUGGUCAGGUGCUGGGACACUUCGUAAGAGAACUGGCCAGGUUGGGGAGAAAUUGAGAACACUUUGGAAAACGGAGACGUAGGUCCCAGACCUGCCAGUUAUGGGCUAAGGAGGGUUUGUGAAUCACUUAGUAUUCUAAAGUUGUGGCCUCUCCCUUUGUAAAAUAAUUUUAUCUGUUUAAUAGGGUGCUUGGAAAGUUAAAUGCCAAAAUAAAUGCCAUGGUACUUUAUAAACUGGAAAGCCCUGUUACUAUUAAGAGGGGCCAGAUUUCAAAGAAAGCAGAGGCCUUGUGGGCUGCUAUUGCCCCAGAAGAGGAUUUGGAUGUAGAGAGACUGAAGAUUGGUUGAACCUUGGAGAGGCCACGGAGAGGAGGAAGAACGCUCACUAGAAAGACGGCAUGACUGAGGAAGUCGGUGGGAACAAGCCUGCUUCUCCCAUGGGAAUGUUUCUAAUCCUUUACUGUGGCCACCCUUCUCCAAACUCUGCGGAGGGAGAUUGCAGGCUGACCCUACCAUGGUGCAGCAUUUGGACCAUGACUGUCUGGGGGCACGAAGUGCUUUGUGAUUUGGUUUAAGGGUGAAAUCAGUGGUUCCAAACAUUGAGCGCACAUUAAAUCACCUUGGAACAUUGCAUUGCAAGAAUGCCCAGUUUCCAUCCCUGAGCUGCACUAAUCAGACUUUCUGGGAUAUGACGGUUUGGGUGAUGUCGUUUUCAUAGAUUUAAAAGUGAUUCUGAAGAAAAGCAGGGUUGAGAACUGCUGUUGAGUUCUUGAUGUAUGGAUUGAGAAAUUCGUUCUGAAUCGAAACACCCUGUCAUCCACUAGUUAAGAAAAAUUAACUCUGUUUGCUACUGGUCCCCAAAUGGGGCCAGUUGGGCUCUUAUGGGAGGGCCCAGCAAAUCUGAAACCUUGUUAGUGUACUCCAGACUUCUGCCUCAUGCCUGUGUCCUUGGAAACCUAGGCUCCUCCUCUUGCCCUGUGAUCCCAGGGGUCUGGCAGGUGAAGGUUUCAGCCAUGUUUCACAGUGGGACACCUGCCAUGGCUCACAAAGUUGUUGACUGUACGAAUUCUGUGUAGUGUCCACUCAUGUCCUCCCUGCCCACACCAGCCCUGCCCAGCUGUCUACAUGAAUCCUGGCAGGACUGAGGGAGGCAACUGAAUCCAACCAUCCUCACACAGGACAAAGCUAUUGUUAUGACUAACAAUAAGUCACUCUCUAUCCGUCUUAAUUGCAUCAGAUCUACUGUUAUUUAAACAUUGCGUUUAUAGUCCUUCUCCUCAAGUAGAAAGUAAGAUUCAUGAGAGCAAAGAUCUUUAUUGUGUCACUCACUGCUAUGUUGCCAUUGCCUAGAAAGGUGCCAGGCAUAUAGUAGACACUUAAUUUACACAUGAUGCAUGAAUGGAUGAUGCAAUAGCACCCAUUUAUGGAGUAUGUAUUAUGUGCCAGGCUCUAUAUCACUUCACAUGUAUCAUCAUGUUUAAUUCUCACAACAAGCUUAAGAGGGAGGUGCUACUAUCUGUUCUCAUUUUAGAGAAGCGGAAAUUGAAAUUCAGACAAGUUUACACACCUGCCCAAGGUUACACAGGUGGUAGAUUGAAUGAGACUUCAAGCAAAUACCAAAGGGUCAACCUUCAUCCAGUCCUCUGAGCAUUACUGGCAGACCUCCCUGAAAUGGGCACAUCACAAAAAAAUUGUAAAUGCUUCCCACCCAGCUCCCAGACAAAACUCCAAGAAUGCACUAACACCACUCCCAAGGGGUUGCACCAGCUAUUGGAGUGGCUUGGGCAGGGAAAAUGUUUGUCUCUGCUUUUUUUCACACCUGGAUGGGAAACAACUUGUGGAGUUUCCCAUUGUCUACCAAAGGUUUCAGCUGGACUCCAUCCCAUGGGCUGCUUCCACUCAAGUAGCAAGGAAGCAGUGAGGAUGGUGUCAGGGAAGGAAGAGUAAUUUGCUGGAAAAGUGCAAGUGAUCCAAACUGUACUUCUAAGAGGGCAGAAGCAGGCAGGGCAGAUGUCCAGUGCUCAUGAUUCCUGGUGGGCAUUUCUACUGGCAAAAAUGCAGGUACCCAAAGGAGGAAGCUGCCUUGCUCAGGGGAGUAAUGUGGGAGCACGGAGGGGGCUGCUGAGGACAGAAGCUACACAAUAUGUCCCUGCGUGUCCUUGGGUUAAUCAGAUGGUCUCAGAUUUCUUUGGGGCCUGACUGCAUUGCUAAAUUCAGGGGGGAAAUCCAAUUCCAUGGCCAUGCUUAGGAACAAGGAAAUAUGCUCUACACAUAUGGUCCUGGGAGCACCCCCUUCUUCCUUGCCUCUGUGUAUGACAGUGCACAGUACCUCCCUUACCUGGGCUAAGUCAGUUCAGACCCUAGUUACCUACAGUGAAGCUGAAGUGGUCUAUUUGGAGAAGCCAUGAAUGACAGUUUGGAGGUCAUGAAACAAGUAACUAUAUGGAAGUAAAAAACACAUGGUGUGGUCCAGUCUCAAUGACUUACCCCAGGGUUAUGGGCAGACAACUUCCCUCCCUGGCAACUUUCUAACCAGCUCACCCUCUGAAAUAAGUUCACCCUAAAAAUUCCCAAAUCUGCAUUGCUCAGGCUGUUUCUAAUACCUGCCAACAUUCCUAGACUAAACUUGACACAGCUGUUUUUCUAGUAGAGGUAAAGAUUUGGGGUGUCAUCCUAAUGCUUCAAUAAGCCCUUCCUAAGGUUGCUGGCAGCCCUCUGCUGGGCUGCAUCUGUGACUAUAUGGGAAAUACAUUAAACUAUUUGGGGUCAGGUUUUCAAAGAGUCAAUUACAGUUGAAAUUAGGAGAGAGAGAGAAGUUAGACACAUUGAGUGUCAACCAUGAGCCAGGCACUAUUCUAGGUCUUCAAAAUACGUAAUCUAAAUUUGAAUUUAAAACUGGAUUGAAAUUUACAUAAGAACGGGGUAACACAGAUAAUUGGUAUAAGGACUGCAGAUAUUUCUGCAGACUUUGAAGACUCCACUGGAGUUGGGGGCAGACGUGGAGGUGGGCGGGGCGGUCCUUUACAUGGAUGGUGUCUUUGUUACUAGGGUACUGUAAGUGCCUUUAUCCAGAAGAGCCCAGUGAAGACCUCUGCUCUGUUUUCAGACCACGAGGACACUUGGGAAGCUGCUCUGAGAAAUUUCAUCAGCUGUGGAAGCAGAGGGGCUGUUGAUGGAUUUCUGGAGGAGGGAUGGUUGUCUGUUCUCUUCGCUUGCCCUACUCAGAAAAAUGUUCAGAUUUCUUUUUAAGGCGUUGCAUGUAGAAUCAUUCUUGUUGCAAGAUAUGCAUAUGUAUCUUUUUAAUUUUAACUCAAGCUCUAUACCAAAAGGCAAGUUCAUUUACUCAGAGCCUAGACAGAAGGCUUUCCCAGUCCUGACACCUUGCUUAUUUGCUACUUAAAGUCUUUUGGAAGAAAAGAACAGAUUUUUGCAUUUUGUUCCCUUUCCUAUUUCAGGAAAAAAAAAAGAAUUUUUUUUAAAUCUACACAACUGUCCUAAUUGGAAGGGAUUCUUGAUCUGUUUCAUUGCAGUCUGUUUAUUUCUGGUAGGUGUCCAGACCGCUUGGCCCCCACCCCUGCCAGGCUGUUCUCCAACAACAUCCCGACUCCAUUCCAGAGCAGCUGGGAGCCUACAGCAGCCUAGGAAUCUCCAUGCAGCCCCAGGUGGCAUGCAGGGCCAUGUCUCCUCUUGAGGACCUGUCUUCAGCGUCUCUUUUAGGCCCACUCUGGCUGUCCUGCCACAUCAGCAUCCCUCUGUCUCCUCCUUUCAGGUCACCCAGCUUGUCUUGCUCCAGGCAGGGCUGCCCUACCCUAAUAUCCCCACACUCUGUACGUAGGCAUGGACCUGAGAAGUUACUGUGGCCAAAAUUUCACUCUGGAAGCAACUAGAGCCCCCGUAGUGUGGUGCAUGAGCCCAGGCCAGCUCCCGCCUGCACAGAGCUGCUUCGGGUUAAGGACUUGGGUGUUAAGAAGGAAACUGCCUAAGGCAAACAGCUCAGACUGGAACAGGGCCAAAUCUAGAGUUCUGGGGUUCAGGUGGAGAACAGUGUUGCUCUAUAAACGCAUGGUGAUGCAGAGGAAAUCAGCAUCAAGGAUAGCCUCAGGGCUGGUGGGGAGUGGAGAAGCCGCCAAGAUAACAUGCAGUCAUGAUAGGUGUUAAAAGAAAACCUUUAGACCAAAUAAACUUAAUAGGGCUUACUGGAGCAAAGGACAAUUGACAAAUCAGGCAGCACUCAGAACCAGAGGAGGUUCUGGGAGUUCUGCUGAGCAGUGUGGGCACUGGGCCUUUAUAGGCUGGAGCGGAAGGGAUACAAAGAAAAUAGAUUCAAUUCGCUAGAAUGGAAAGUCCCUGGUUAGAGAUUCAUUGAGGGUUUCUGACUGGAAAAGUGUCCAGGUUCGUUUGCUGUUUACCUAGAGUUUGUGCUUGCUUAUGAAGAAAUUUAAAGAACAAAGCCACCAUCACCUAAUGGCCUCCCAAUUAAGAUGAAAUUUUAACACGGAUGGUGAUGGUGGAUCCUUAACACAAGAUGGCAGAGAAGGACCCUAGAGAUGAUAUAGACCAGAAGUGGUCUACCAGUGUCCUCCAGCUCCUACGUAUGCUCACUGACCUCCUCUUCCCUCUUGUAUAUUACCACAUUACUGUAUAUUACUGCAUCACUACUGUGAUGUGGUAUAUUGUAUAUUACCAUUAUUAUAUUGUAUAUUAUAUUAUAUUGUAUGUGGUAUAUUGUAUAUUACCAUUAUUGUAUAUUACCACAUUACCUGCUGGAGCAGCGAUGCAGGGCCCAGAGAGAAGGAAGGAAAGUGGUGGAGGAAGAGUACCUUGGCUGCACCUGGUCAAAAGCCUUGGGAAGGAUGGCUUGGAACUCAGCAUCAAUUCCCCCGAAUCAUCAGACUUGGAAAUGAGCAUGGAAGUGGUGCUUCCUUUUCCUCAUGGAAAUCACAUGCAGCUUCAGAGAGUUUCAUUUGCAUUGAAACUUAGAGACAGAUAUAAUCUAUAGACUCCAAAACAUGGGUAAGGGCUGCAAAGAGCUGCAAGCUCACAGGAAGAGGAGCAGCAUCUAGGGCGGCAGCGGAACUUUGAGAGCACAAGCAGAACUACACUUCCCAAGGAUGAGGCACACACCGGCCCCUUGUUUGCAUUUCCUGGGAAGGAGCUAGAGGUCCCUGCAGCAAAAGCCCUCAGGGACCCAGUAUGAUUCAGAGAAGCUGAGGAGGCAGAGCUCUAUAAAGGAUAAUACCAUAUUUUCAGGAAGAAGUCUGUCUCUGUGAAAACAAAGAGAAAGAGGUCCUGUGAGAUGAAGAAUUCUGGAAGACUGUCCUUGCCCCACCCCUGGUUAGAACAUCUUGCAAAAAGCUGAUCUAGGGAAGUUCAACCAGUACACUCCAUGAAUAAUUUAAAAGAAGAUGGAAUAACCUCAAUACAAACAUUCUAUAAGACACAAAGAGCAGCAAAUCACAUCAACCGAAGAACAUGCACCCGUAAAAUGUGGGCUGGAAGAGGUGAAAAUUAUGAUGAAACAUUCCACCAUGAAUUAGAAACAAAGCACCUUGACAAGGCAAUUUGAUCUCUAAUGGAAAACCACAAAGCACAAAUGCAGGAACUCAAAUAGAAGAUGAAAAGCUGAUGGGAAGUGAUGAGAUGGAGCUAGAAGACUCAGGAAAGAAGCAGAGGAUAAUAAGGGGGCGAAGUCACUGCAAAAGGCUCUGUAAGAGAAGCACAGGAUGGGAGUGUGGAAUGCAAAUCUGAUGUCGUAGAGACAGGGAGUUAAGAUUAGAGAGAAAGUGAUCGCAAUAACAGGGAGGUGAAGGAAAGCCACACGUGCAAAACUAGAGUCUCUGAAGAAGCCAAAACAAUAGGAUGUAAAAAACGUUUUAAAAUACAAUUCAAAACAUUUCCUAAAAUAAAGCAAGACUUGAAUCUGCA
Homo sapiens (human) is the source of this 6755-nucleotide long non-coding RNA. RefSeq lists it as uncharacterized. Lineage: Eukaryota; Metazoa; Chordata; Mammalia; Primates; Hominidae. The record is from RefSeq and is a predicted model, not a curated record. The transcript is spliced from 3 exons.